AUGGGGUCUGGAUCAGUGACUCUGAAGCAAAAGAAACGAGUGAAACAUACAAAGAACAAGUACUUGAAGCCUGGUGCCCUGGCUCAGAUUCGUUAUAGUAGGAGCACAAGCAGGGAUAUAGGGAAGAAACGGAUUCUGUUGAAUGUGGAGAAGGAUGAUGAGCUGGAGAUAUCACCACAUGCCGAGGUUGUGUUUGAAAGCAGUACACCAAUUAUGUCUCCAGCAAGACUCAGUUUUGAGACAUUUAGUGGCAUCAAGGGACAGUUGUUGCCAACUACUCCAAAGACUCCUCAAGCAGCUGAAUGUGAUGGCCAUUCAAGGCUUGAGUCACUUCCUCUUGAUCUGCUGAUCAAGAUCGUCUGUUACUUGCAUCAUGACCAGCUGAAGGCUGUUUUCCACGUUUCAUCAAGGAUCCGAAAGGCAGUGGAACUGGCACGGCAGUACCAUUUCAACUACACCACUCCAGAUCGCAGCAGGCAGGAACUGCUCCAAAACAAGACCCCUCUCCGGACUGAGCACUGGCCUUUCAUGAGCAGAAUAGAUGGCAAGGAUGUGAGGGUGGCCACCCCGAGAACCCCAAAGGCUCCAAAACACGGCCCUCGGCCUUCACGUUUUAAGCUGCUCGACGUGAAGCCGAUCACAGCCGUUCUUUUCCCAGAUUCGUUGCCUUCAAAAAAGCGCCGUCUGCGGCGUCUGAUGCCGCCAGGAUUGCCAAGGCCUGUACCCAAAGCGGCAGCCUCUCCCAGAGUUUUACUAUACGAGGAAGAGCUUUGCGAAGCGGUGGCGCAGAAUAAGCUUCUAUGA
This 804-nucleotide ribosomal RNA is filed under the name Triticum aestivum (bread wheat). RNAcentral describes it as "partial small subunit ribosomal RNA". Lineage: Eukaryota; Viridiplantae; Streptophyta; Magnoliopsida; Poales; Poaceae. The record is from RNAcentral.